Molecule: long non-coding RNA, 351 nt
Filed under: Phoenix dactylifera (date palm)
Lineage: Eukaryota; Viridiplantae; Streptophyta; Magnoliopsida; Arecales; Arecaceae
Description: long non-coding RNA (PDAC_LNC021876)
Source: RNAcentral
UGGUCUGCAGUAGAAGAUAUAAUUAUUUUGCGAAGCAACUGAAUGAUAAUGGAUUUAAAGUGUAUGCAAUGGAUUGGAUUGGUAAGUUAUCAACUGAGCAUCAUCUUCAGAAAGAUCAUUUGCUUUCUGUUUGACAAAAGCAAGUGGAAGGCAUAAAUGUUUGCAUGCUGGCUUUACUGCUAGCCAAGAAAAAAUAAAUCUAUUAGUUAAAAGUUGAAUAUAAAUUUGCAUUGUUGCUUCUUCAUCAUGAAAAGAAAUCUCAUGUUUUCAUCCCCUUCAGUAAACUUUUCCUUUUAAUAAGCAAAAUAGCACUACAUUGCAGUUUCAUAAAGAUCGCAGAAUUUACCAUCU